AACGCAUCUUGCGCUCCUUGGUAUUCUGAGGAGCAUGCCUGUUUGAGUGUCAUUAAGUUCUCAAUCACAUCAGUGUUGAUGUGGCUUGGAUAAUGGAGGUUUGCAGGUUUUAUUAAAGUCUGCUCCUCUGAAAUUUAUUAGUGGUAUCUGAGCAGAAGCUACUACAGAUGUGAUAAAUAUCUACGUCUCUGGCAACUGCAUUGACAGACUACACCGCUCCUAACAAUGUGUAUGAACACGUUUGACAUAUUUGACCUCAAAUCAGGUAGGACUACCCGCUGAACUUAA
RNAcentral lists this unclassified non-coding RNA (288 nucleotides) under uncultured Inocybe. Its description in RNAcentral is "sequence contains ITS2". The record is from RNAcentral. Lineage: Eukaryota; Fungi; Basidiomycota; Agaricomycetes; Agaricales; Cortinariaceae.